Molecule: long non-coding RNA, 225 nt
Organism: Lemur catta (Ring-tailed lemur)
Lineage: Eukaryota; Metazoa; Chordata; Mammalia; Primates; Lemuridae
Exons: 3
Source: RefSeq, a predicted model, not a curated record
ACUGCUACACCCAGCAGAAGGACACAAUGACAUGAUAUGGAAGCCGGGCCCUGCUCCUGACUAGUUACUCAGUAGUAGUUACUAGUGCAGAUGGACAAGAUGUGAACCAUUUAUCAACUCUCAAAUGUCAAGAGAAAAGGAAUCCUUCCCCUUUCCGGUUAAUAUUCUACCUUAACACUGCUUGGAAUGCAACCAUGGAUUUUGAAGUGUGUGAUGAUGUUUGAG